RNAcentral lists this small RNA (4762 nucleotides) under Pan troglodytes (chimpanzee). RNAcentral describes it as "retained intron". Lineage: Eukaryota; Metazoa; Chordata; Mammalia; Primates; Hominidae. The record is from RNAcentral.
GCCGCGACGCCGAAGACAGGGUCUGAAGAGCUACUCAGAGCCAACCCUGCACUGGAGACAGGAAGCCGGGCACCUGGAUGAGCCUCUGACCCAGAGCCCUGGAGCCCACAGGCUCGUCUGAGAACUAGACACACUCAGUCACUCCAGCUCCACGGGCAGGCACCUGCACAGAGGCUCCUGCUGCUGCUUCAAAGCUGUAUGAGCUACUUGGAGAACCUUGGCUCAGAGCAGAUGAUGCCCCCUGCACAGGCUGCGGGGCCCUGCAUGUCCGUGGGGCUCACGGUGCGGCGCUUCUGGGACAGCCUGCUGAGGCUGGGCACGCUCCACCAGCAGCCACUCCCCCAGAAAGGGGCAAACCAAAGGGAGAUUCCCACCUCCAAGCCCACCACCAAGGGCGAGCCAGCCAGGAGCCCUGAAUAUCUGACUGCCAAGUUCAUCAAGCCCUCCUCCCCAGUGCUAGGCUUGCCCCAGACCUGCCAAGAGCCAGAGAGCAUCCCUGUCAGAGCCUCCCUGCAGUUCCCAGCCACGACCUCCAAGAACACCAGGAGUGUCCACUCCCAGACCAUUGAGACGGCCCUGGUGCCCUGUGACGCAUGCGCCAGCGUCCAGGGAAGCCUGCGGAAGGUGGGCAAGGUGGUCAUCAGCCUGUGUCAGAGCCAGAACCUGCCCUCGUCCUUAGGCCAGUUCCAGCAACUGGUGCAGGACAGCAUGGGGCUCAGGCCACUGCCGGCUGCCACCGUGGGCCGCUGGGCAGCAGAGCAGAGGAAAGACCUGACGUGCCUCAGUAAGCAUGUGGAGGCCCUCAGGGCCCAGCUGGAGGAGGCCGAAGGGCAGAAGGAUGGCCUGAGGAAGCAGGCGGGCAAGCUGGAGCAGGCGCUGAAACAGGAGCAGGGGGCACGGCAGCAACAGGCGGAGGAGGAUGAGCAGUGCCUGUCUGAGUGGGAGCACGACAAACAGCAGCUGCUCACAGGUCUGUGCCCCAGAGGCCAGACGCCUGGUGCCCAGGGGCUCUGCCACAGCCUUUGCAUGGAUGUUUGUGAGACAGGGCUUCCAGGGCAAGUGGUUUGUGUGGAAGAACCCAGGCUGGGACACAGGCAAGAGGCAGGGAAGGGAGGGCAGCAAGGAAGGGGGUGUUCAUCCGGUGGUGACACUGUGAUCUCAGUCCCACUGGGGCCACCAGGAGCUGGGCUAGGACGCUUGCCCAGACUCGUCCAUCGGUCAGUGAGGGAACCGAGGUAUGUAUCCACUUGCACUGUCAGUCAUUGAGGGCUACUUCCAGAGAGUUAUUCCCCUGGCACUUCCAGCCAAGCAGAGCAGCCUCUCUGGUUUUGGCAAAAGCCAUUAGAGACAAAGUUCCUGGCACCAGAAGUUGGCCAGUGCCCACUGAUGGGAGGCCUGAGGGAUUUGCCCUUUCUGAGCCUCACAGUUGCCUCCAUGGACGACACCAAGGCCCAGAGAGGUGUAGACACAUGGCAGCCAGCCCAUGAGAAGCAGGGUGGGUAAGGGCCCAGCCGCUUCCACCAGCCUCCCUAGAGCUGCUCCCAUGGCCGCAGGCGGCCCCUCUGCAGGCGAUGGGCUGCCUCCACUCCACGGGGCACACUGGGCAUGAAGGCCGCCGGCCAGGUCCAUGGGACCCUCUGAAGGGCCUCUCUCUUUGCUGCCAUAGAAACAAGUGACCUAAAGACAAAGAUGGCCACCCUGGAGAGAGAACUGAAACAGCAGCGGGAGUCCACGCAGGCUGUGGAGGCAAAGGCCCAGCAGCUGCAGGAGGAAGGUGAGCGCAGGGCGGCAGCGGAGAGGCAGGUGCAGCAGCUGGAGGAGCAGGUGCAGCAGUUGGAGGCGCAGGUGCAGCUGUUGGUGGGUCGGCUGGAGGGCGCUGGCCAGCAGAUCUGCUGGGCCAGCACGGAGCUGGAUAAGGAGAAGGCCCGUGUCGACAGCAUGGUCCGCCAUCAGGAGUCUCUGCAGGCCAAGCAGCGAGCCCUGCUAAAGCAGCUGGACAGCCUGGACCAGGAACGUGAGGAGCUGCGGGGCAGCCUGGACGAGGCUGAGGCCCAGCGGGCCCGCGUGGAGGAGCAGCUGCAGAGCGAGCGGGAGCAGGGGCAAUGCCAGCUCAGGGCCCAGCAGGAGCUGCUGCAGAGCCUGCAGAGGGAGAAGCAAGGCCUGGAGCAGGCGACUACGGACCUGCGGCUAACCAUCCUGGAGCUAGAACGGGAGCUGGAGGAGCUGAAGGAGCGGGAGCGGCUGCUGGUGGCCUUCCCAGACCUGCACAGGCCCACCGAGACCCAGAUCCAUGAUCCAGCAGCGUGGAAUACCAGAUAACAUGUCCCACAGACUCUGGCAACGUCACAGAUCACAUGGAGAGGCAAGUGCAGGCCAACGACAUCCGCAUCCGGGUCCUACAGGAGGAGAACGGGCGGCUCCAAUCAAUGCUGUCCAAAAUCCGGGAAGUGGCCCAGCAGGGUGGCCUCAAGCUGAUCCCGCAGGACCGGCUCUGGUCCCCUUCCAGCAAGGGAACCCAGGGAGCAACACCACCAGUCCAGGCCCAGAGCAUAUCCCCAGGGCCUCUGGGCAGACAGCACCUUCCUAGCAGCAGGACGGGUAGGACCCUGCUGGGCCAGCCCUGCACAUCCCCAUCUCGGCAGCCCUGCGCAUCCCCAUCUCGGCAGCCCUGCGCAUCCCCAUCUCGGCAGCCCUGCAGCCAGCCCAGCAAGUCCUUGCUGGAGGGUGUGACCCACUUGGACACCUGCACCCAGAACCCCAUCAAGGUCUUGGUCAGGCUGAGAAAGAGACUGUCACCUGGCCGGGGACAGGCCAGCUCUGCACACCAGCCCCAGGAGCGGCCCAUGUAGCCUGUGGCCCAGGGCUGAGGCUGGAUGGGAGGUGGCUGGCAGCCCACCCACUGUAAUAAAGCCCCAGCCAUUGGCCCACAGCAAUCUUUGCCUCACAGUAUGACUGAGCCAAGGAAAGAACCCUUCCUUCCCUGUCCUGGGCAGGGGCCACUGAGUCCCCAGCCAUGUAGUUCAGUCAGUCAGCAGAGUCCUGGCACUAUGGGCCCUCAGUAAAAGGGGCCUUCCUGCUUCCCUCCCGACAGAGGCUGUGGGAUAGGAGAGUACACCCAGGGCAGAGGAAGCUCCUAGGACCUGGGCCAGGUGAAGGGCCGUUUUUCUAUCCCCAGAGCAAGGGUCGAGGGGUGAAGCUGGGCUCAGUGGCCCGCACUGACUCAGGAAGGGGUCAGGUGGGAGUGGACAGAGGAAGGGCCGGUGAGGAUGUCUGAAGCAGGCAGAGGGCAGCAACGCCUUCAGCCUCCCACCCUGGCUCUGGACCUGCGCUGGGCACAUUAAGGACCCAAGAGGUCAGGCCUCCUUUCACUGAGGAACUCCUUGCCUUUAGGAAAUGGUGACGGUCAUGAAGGUUUCUCUAAAUCCUGGAGGUCAUAGCCCCAGGAGGCCACUGAAGGCAGGGCAAGGCCUCCACCAAGCAGAGGACACCCUGCCAGCCCCGGCUUUCCCAUCCCUGUCCCUUGGGGGUUUCUUCAGCCCAGGGUGCCAUGCGGCCAAGCAUCUGGGGCUCUGGUUUUCCUCAUGAAGCCACCAGCCUACCCUGAGCCACCUCACCUGUGAAUGACAAUCUCCAAAAACUUGCUGAGGCCUUCUCAGGGUGCACGCUCCCAAAUGCCUGAAGCAUUUUCCCUUGGUGAAGAGGCCGUCAGGUAGAGCACCUCAGUUCACAGAGAAGGGUCAAGAGGGGCCAUGUAUAUAGCUGAGCUACCACAGCUUUGGUCAGCCCAACUUCCUGCUUCUGAGGGGCCUGGGAGUUCCUGAGGGAGGCUGGGGUGCCCCGGGCACCCCCCUCACAGGGGAGCACCAUCCCUCAGCACCCUGAGCCAGAAGGCCUGUGCUCAAGUCCAGGGGAAGGACCUCACAGCUGAGUAGCUCUCUCAGGCGCCCACCAACUCUGUGCCAUGUAUUCAUUAGCUCCCAGUUCUGGCAGUCAGAAGUCCAGGUUCUGUGUGGCUGGGUUUUUUUGCUCCGGGUCCCAGAGGGCUGAAAUUGAGGCAUCUACCAGGUUGCGUUCCUUUCUGCCGGUUCUGGGGAAGAAUUGGCUUCCAAGCUCCACUUGUUGGCAGAAUUCCAAUCCUUGCGGCUGUGGGACUGAGGUCCCCAUGUCCUCGCUGGCUGGCUGUAAGCCAGGUCCUCUCACGGCUCCUAGAGGCCGUCCACCUUCCUUGCCAUGGGGCUCCCUCCAUCUUCAAGUCAACAACAGAGGAUUUCUCAUGUGCUGAAUCCCCCACAUGCUUCAAAUCCCUGACUUCCUCCUCUUCUACCAGCAGAAAACUACUUUGAAUAGGCUCAUGUGGUUAGGGCAAGGCUCACACUCAAAUACUUUCCCUAUCUUCAGGUCAGCUUGCUAUAAGACAGAACCCAACCAUGGGCGUAAAAUCCCUUUGAGAAGCCGGGCGCAGUGGCUCACGUCUGUAAUCCCAGCACUUUGGGAGGCCGAGGCAGGCGGAUCACCUGAGAUCGGGAGUUCGAGACCAGCCUGACCAACAUGGAGAAACCCCGUCUCUACUAAAAAUACAAAAUUAGCCGGGCGUGGUGGCGCAUGUCUGUAAUCCCAGCUACUCGGGAGGCUGAGACAGGAGAAUUGCUUGAACCCGGGAGGCGGAGGUUGCAGUGAGGCGAGAUCACGCCAUUGCACUCCAGCCUGGGCAACAAGAGUGAAACUCCAUCUCAAGAAAUAAAAAUAAAAUAAAUAAAUAAAA